Vicia villosa (hairy vetch) is the source of this 1099-nucleotide long non-coding RNA. RefSeq lists it as uncharacterized. The record is from RefSeq and is a predicted model, not a curated record. Lineage: Eukaryota; Viridiplantae; Streptophyta; Magnoliopsida; Fabales; Fabaceae. The transcript is spliced from 3 exons.
GGGUGUGAAAGUAAAAAGACUUGAACUAUAUCUAUCUACACAUGGCGCAUGGGCUUCAAAAUUGGGGUGUGAGAAGCAUUUUCGUGACAGGCCCAUGAUGUAUGUUUUGCUUGAUCCAAUUUCCAUUUUAUUCUCAAACUUAUUAUUAACAAAAAGAAACAACAAAUAAAAAAUAUAUAAAAAAUAGAAGAAAAUAAGGAAGGGGCCAAAUUUAGGGUUACCUUGCGCCGUUUCAGAUGUUCACUCUCUUCUUCCUUCUUCACAAACGCAACGGCGACGGCGCGGUGGAGAAGUUCAUCUUCUCCGACGAAUCUCUCCGUCUCUUGUCACGUGAACGGCGGCGGAAGACUUCUCCGUCGAGCCUCACAAUCUUCUUCUCCGACGAAGCUCUCGGACUACUCCUAUCUCCGUCGUCGUGCCAACGCGGUCUCUUGUUCCGUUAAAAUCUUCUCUCAAUCGACUCAAUCUUGCUCUCUCGUUCUCAGAUCCGAUUCGAAACUAACGAAGAUUUUCCGGUACACCUUCAACAGAGGAACUCGCUCAGGUGAAGCCGGGAUGCGUUAUUGUUGAUGAUGUGAUGAAGGUGAUGCGAUGGAAGUUGGAGAUGUGAUCCUCCUACCGAAGAUGAAGUGGUAGCGAUUGAAGCAGAGUGAUGGUGAUUUGAAGAUGAUGAAAAAUGGUGAUGAAAUGGUGAUGAGUUCUGAGAGUGCUGAAGAUUUAUGAGCAAUGGCUAAGGAUGAAUUUUGAUGGAUGGUGAAGAUGGAAGUGGUGGAGUUUCAAGAUGAAAGUGAAUUGUCUAGAGCAACAAUGGUGGAGGAGAUUCUGAUUCAUAGCAGCCCGGUGUGUUGGGAUGACUUGAAGAUGAAUGAAAGGCUUGAGGCGGCAUUACGGAAUUACGGAAUUAAGGAGUCGGCGUGCCGAAUACUUGAAACACUUCCUUUUGUAGAAUAUGAUUUGGAAUGGAGAUUAGGAAUACUGAUGUUUAGUAUAAACUUGUGUAUUUUUGACUUUGAAAUGGAUGUACAUGACAUGAUAUGUAUUUUUUGUUGACUGUUUCAAAGGAUUCUGAAUUGUAUGAACUGAUUUUUAUGGACCCCAA